Long non-coding RNA from Gambusia affinis (western mosquitofish), 374 nucleotides. RefSeq lists it as uncharacterized. The record is from RefSeq and is a predicted model, not a curated record. The transcript has 3 exons. Lineage: Eukaryota; Metazoa; Chordata; Actinopteri; Cyprinodontiformes; Poeciliidae.
CGACACGACCGAUCCCAUCGUUAGCUCGGCUCGUCCAUCAUCACACCUGAAUCACGAGCGCCUGAACAGAGAGGUUCAGGUCCAGAUCCAGACUGUGGAUGGGAAACAAAGAAGGUCCAAAAGGUUCUGAUGAUCUUCUGAUCCCAGCAGGAAAACCUGUUACGGCCCUGAGCAAACAGAGCAGCGAUCUUUGGAUCUGCAUGCAGGAGUCGAUACCUGGGCUGUAAAACAACAAUAAAGACCUUCUCUGCUCCUGCAGCAGGUUCCUCCAUACCUGAGAGCUUCCAGUCUCCAGUGUGGAUCCUUCAGUCCAGCCCACAGCAGCUUCACUCCUGAGUCUCCUGGAUGAUUGUAGCUCAGGUCCAACUCUUUCA